RNAcentral lists this long non-coding RNA (2336 nucleotides) under Homo sapiens (human). Its description in RNAcentral is "non-protein coding KCNIP4-IT1:3". The record is from RNAcentral. Lineage: Eukaryota; Metazoa; Chordata; Mammalia; Primates; Hominidae.
AAGAAACCUGAGACUAAAGAAAGAAAUCAUUUUUGUGAUUAAGAGAAGGAUUAGGAAACAAAAAACAAUUUAAUUAUUACAGAUAAUAUUGCUAAGUAUUUUCGUUACACAUAUGAAGUACUUCUGCGUGUGAUAUUUCAUUUAAUCCCCUCACAAUAUUCCUGCGUAAUUGGUUAAGUGGAUAUUUCAGACUUUAUUUCAGAAAUAUAGAAACUUAGUGCUUGAUUUGUCUAGUUUCUAAAAUAAGUGGUAGAGUUGAAACAAGAAAAUGUGUGUUUUUUUUCACUAGGUGCUGCUAGACAUCCUUGUGUGAUGUUAAAAGUACAUCUGCCAUAACAUGGCUUUACCACGUAUGCUUGGGGGCAUUUAAUUACUGGGCUAGUCUGGUCUUCUUUUGAAAUACCCCUAGGGGAUAGCGACAUGUAAAAAGUGCAGCACUGAGUGUAUUUCAACUAUUGCAUUUUACUAACCUGAGAUUGUCAGGGUGCUUUUAUUAUAAAAUGGAGAUCAAGUAUGGAAAAAAGGUAUUACUUCUGUUACUACCGCUUUGGUGGUUAUAGAAGGUGAUGAACUGAAACAUCAGGACCUGUGGAUUUUGCAACAGAGACAAGGCCAAACUGGCUCACCUGCAGAAUAAACAAAGGGUAAUGUCUAUAAAGAGAAUUGUGAAUAACGGUGCUUAUCUGUUGUUCCUGUCUACCCAGGAUCUCUUUUCUCAUCUUCUUGGUUGUGAAUACAUUAGGUGGGGUUGACUCAUCUCCCCUUCUCUAUCCAACAUAGAUUGGCAUAUGCUUUGCACUGGGCCAGUGUUCUCCUUGGCUACUUUCUGCCAGAGUACAUGGAAAAAACAGGUAUUGCUCAGUUGUAUAGGGAUCUGGGGUUGCCACUUACCAUUUUAUCCAUGCCAUGGUGGGAGCCUGAUGGAAAACCCAGGACAGGUGGAGCCCUUGGCCCCACUGAUUGAGCCUCCAGAAAAUAGGAUCGCCUGAAUCCUUGGACUUGCCAUUUGGGGUAACAAAUAAAUCCUCAAGCUAGUAUAAGUUGAGAUCUGGUCACUGUAAAUCAGUCAAAUACAAAUGCAGGUAGCUGGUGCAUCAUAAUAAUAACCAACACUUAUUGAAUGUAUGCUAUACUAGUAAGCAUUCUUUAAUCACUUCAUUCUCGCAGCAAUCCUAUGACGUGCAUGUCCAUUACUGUCUCCAUUUCACAGGAAGAAACAGAGACAGACUUGUUAGAUGACUUGUUAAAGAUCAGAGAUAGGAAGAAGCAGAGCUGGGAUUUGAACUCAGGAAGUCUAGCUGUACUCUGUGAACUCUAGUCAUUCUCUAUCUCUCUUUGUGUAUAUCCCCUUGCCAUAUAUGUGUAAAUGCCUUUAUCUUUCUAUAUGUGUAUCUAUAUCUGUCUGUAUGUUAUCUCUCUGAAAUAUGCAAAUUAUUGGCAAGAAUUGAAUUUAUGUUACAAAUUAGAACAUUAAUGUUGGUUCUGUGCAUGGAAAUUAGUAUCUCAAAUUUCAUCCCAGUGUCAUGGACAAGAAUAGAAAUUUCUAUUAGAGCUUAAAAAGAAACUAUAGAUCUAUGAGUGUUUUGAAAAGAGCACAAUAGGAAAAUUAAAAUAAGUAUAAUAUUGAAGCAUCCAUAUUAUAUGACAUUAAGUCUCAGUAAGAGACUGAGUUAGCUGAUCAAAUCUUUUAGCAGUAAAAACAAAACAAAACAGACAAAAAAACAGAGGCAAUCACGUAUAAGCACUAGGGCAUAUUUAAUAUGACUGUUAUUGAGGAGAAGACUGCAGUUGGGAAGAAUCUUUGAACAGAUACUUACUAAAAACUAAAAUAUUUUGUGAGUCAGAACAUUUAGCCAAUCCAGCUACUAAGAUAUUUCAAAGUCGAAUGAGUUAUCACAAAGCUAGAAGACAAAAAACACUGUACUGGGGAAGCUGUCUAAUUUAGUUAAUCCAGUUAACUAACUUAGGCAGUUAGUGAGUCUGGUGCCAAGCUACAUGUCGAAUCGAAAGGGUUAAGUUUUUCACCUUGCAUCACUGAUAUAAGGUGCUCGGAAAAGUAAAUUUUAUUACUAAGAAGUGUCAAGCUCCUAUGUAACUUCCUUUUGCAAGAAAAAAAGCAAGAAAAGUAGGUAAACACUUAAAAAAAUCUGCUCUUAUGCUUUUGGAAAAAAGAAUUUUCUAAGAAUCGUGGUUAUGAUUUAGGACAGAGGUAAGCAAAUGGGCCAAAUCUGGCCCACCACCUGUUCUUGUAAGGCCUGUAUACUUGGAACGAUUUUUAUGUUUAUAAAUGGUUGAUAAAAGUUACAAGAAGAAUAAUAUUGUUACUUGUGAAAAUU